Long non-coding RNA from Musa acuminata AAA Group (dessert banana), 986 nucleotides. RefSeq lists it as uncharacterized. The transcript has 3 exons. NCBI's taxonomy places the organism in Eukaryota, Viridiplantae, Streptophyta, Magnoliopsida, Zingiberales, Musaceae. The record is from RefSeq and is a predicted model, not a curated record.
GGACGGAGAUCCUGAACUUGAUCGACGGACCAUGGCCCACACGUGAUGCAUAAUGGCCGGCCCAUUGGCUUAUUGAUCCGACUCGGUUUCAGCGGAUCCCAAGUCGAGAUACUUUCCCGCGCUCGCUCGUCAGGGUUAAAGAAGCGGAAGAGCCGUCGUUUGUUUGGUCGCGUCUCGCGGGGAGAGUGGGGAGGAGGUGGAGGGAUCGAUGGUACACCAGAUGGUUUCCGAUCCGAAGGAUGGCGUCGAUCGGAUCUUCGCCGGCUUCAAGUGCGGGAUCUCCGCUCCUGGUGAUUUCCCCCGGAUCCUAAUCCUUCGCCCCGUCCCCCUUUCCUCCUCGGAAUUCGAUUUCUUGGCCGUUCUUAAUCCGCGACCAAGAAAGCAGGCUUGGUGAGAGGGGAGGCGUCUGUGGUUGCUGGAGUUGCUACGCCGAGCUUGUCGGAACAAUGUGGGCGGGAUUCGGCAGGGAAAGAGAAGGGAAGAUGGACUGUACAUCUUUUCGCCAAGGGAAAAUGUCAAGCUUCUUGAUCAUGUGUAUGCAACACGUAUGUGCACACUACAUUGUUUAUAGAGUGUCUUGUGCAGUCCGAAGCUUAUCUUGAUCAAAAUGUCAAUUUUCUUGAUCAAGAUGUGUUCAUCUUGAUGUGUAUGCAAACGUGAUCAUGGAUUCUGUCGAGUGUUUCCAGUUCAAAAAAAUGUCAAUGCCCUUAAUCAAGAUGUCUUUAUCUUGAUCAGGUUGAUCGACCUUAAGGAUAAGUUUUUUAGCGUUUAAGAAUUAGGAUAGCUUGUGAUGGUCUAAAUAAAUACGAAGAGAAAUUUUUGGUUUGGCUACUCUGUGUUUGUCCAUAAUCCAUGUAGAUUAUGAAUUGACAUGGGGUGGUAAUAUUUGCUCUCGCUGUUCGACCUUGGCUAACAUGCAUGGGAUGCAUGUCUGCACUUAUUUUAGCACCUGGGAAUGGGAUGUUCACUCUCAGCUUCAUAUUUAG